Podarcis lilfordi (Lilford's wall lizard) is the source of this 69-nucleotide non-coding RNA. The record is from the annotation of a GenBank genome assembly. Lineage: Eukaryota; Metazoa; Chordata; Lepidosauria; Squamata; Lacertidae.
GCAUAGCUCAGUCGGUGGAGCAUGAGACUCUGCAUCUCAGGGUUGUGGGGUUGAGCCCCACGUUGAGUG